GUCAGACUCGGCCCCCCAAAAUCACCCCAACACCCCCACACCCAAGCUUGCGUUGCUUUGACGGGGUUUUGCGCCGUUUCGGGGUGGGGGAUGAGGUGCGGCCCCCCUGACCCGCCGUGUCCCCCCCUCCGCAGGUCACCCCUUGCAGCCCGGCCACCCCCUGCGCCCAGGGACACUUUUGUGACGAGCACUUCGGGCUGUGCCUGCCCGAGCGGCCCGAGGGUCACUACUGCCGCCAGGACCCGCACUGCGCCCGCGGGCUCGUCUGCAUCUUCGGCAAGUGCCAGCAGCCCGUGCCCCCCGGGCAGGACGGAGCGCGGUGCCAGCGGGACGAGGAGUGCGGGGCCGGCGGCUGCUGCGCUCGGCAGCACGGGGAGCGCGUUUGCCAGCGGCGCCUGGAGCUGGCCCAGAGCUGCCACGUUCCCCCCGGGGGACUCGCCUUCAGCAUCAACCAGGUGUGCCCGUGCCAGGCCGGGCUGGUCUGCCGGCCCUCCGUGCCCGCCAGGGAGAAAGCGUUCGAGUACCGGCCGGAGAAGAGCGAGUGGCGGUGCCGGCAGCCCUGAGCUCCCAGCCUGUAUUUAUUGUCUCUGUAAAUAAAUAUAUUGUCCCGAUAAAGCCGGCCCAGCGCCGCGCUGAGCCCGGCGGCUGCCGCUGGCCAUCCCCGGGCUGGGGGGGCUGGAGCCCCCCGAGCGCCCCUUCCCCAGAGCCGGGCAGGUCCCGGCUCCAUCCUCACCUGAGCAGGGGUCACUGCAGCGCUGUGUCCUCCCAGCCGGACCCCCCCGUGUCCCCCCAGGAGGCUCAGGCGUGGGGCAGGUCUCACCGAAAUGUUUAUUACAAAGAAACCAAGCGAGCGGGGCGAGUCCCCCUCCCCUCCCCACACACACACACACAAACCAACGAGAAUAAAUAAAUAAAAUACAUUUUUGUCGGGUCUUUA
RNAcentral lists this long non-coding RNA (937 nucleotides) under Parus major (Great Tit). Its description in RNAcentral is "lncRNA (ENSPMJG00000002087.1)". The record is from RNAcentral. Lineage: Eukaryota; Metazoa; Chordata; Aves; Passeriformes; Paridae.